RNAcentral lists this long non-coding RNA (1844 nucleotides) under Mus musculus (house mouse). RNAcentral describes it as "long non-coding RNA chr14:14678284-14680128". Lineage: Eukaryota; Metazoa; Chordata; Mammalia; Rodentia; Muridae. The record is from RNAcentral.
UUUUUGUUAUUCCAGAUGAAUUUGCAAAUUGCUCCUUCUAAUUCGUUGAAGAAUUGAGUUGGAAUUCAAAAUGUCAAUUUAUAAAUGAAAGUUUCUCAUGUGUGUUUGAAAGAGCCGGCGAUGCUUGCCCACAGGUGUGUCUUAUCAUGAUAUUGAGCACCAGGAAGGUACAAAUGCUCUUGACCCCUUUACUUUCUAUAUCUUCCGUCAGUCUUCUGCCUUUCUAUCAUCUGGCUAUUUGCCAAGAGGGUAUUGCUUCAACUAUUCCUUAUCCAAAGUGGUCUCUUUCCACGCAUCAGAUCAAGCUUUGUGUCAUCCAGAAGCUAUACCACUAUAUCACUAUAUCACUAUAUCACUACUGCCAGAGCAGCUCCUUGUGGGAACUUGAUCAUUGGCUUUUAUUUAUGCCUCUAGAAUGCAAGAAUUAUUUCAAUCCAAUAUUAAUUACUUUCUUUCUGGCAGGAUCUCAUGUACCCCAGGUUGGCUUUGAACUCUCUGUUUAGCUGAAGAUUAUCUUGCACUUCUGACCCUCCUUUCUUUACCUCCCCAGUACUGGGGAUUUAUAGGAGUACACAGCUUAUACGCUUAUACACACUGGGAGUUGGACCCAGGGUCUCGUUCAUGCCAUACAAGGAUGCUGUCACCUGAGUUACAUUCCAGACUCCUCUGUAUGACUUCUUCCUGAAUCAUAAUAAUCAUAAUACCUGACAGAAAGAGCUCCAGUGAAGAAAGAUUUAUUCUGAGUCAGGCGGUGGUAGCUCACGCCUUUAAUCCCAGCACUUGGGAGGCAAAGGCAGGCAGAUUUCUGAGUUUAAGGCCAGUCUGGUCUCCAGAGUGAGUUCCAGGACAGCCAGGGCUACACAGAGAAACCCUGUCUCAAAAAACCAAAAAAAAAAAAAAAAAAAAAAAGGAAAGAUUUAUUCUGGCUCAUAUUUUCCCAGGGAUCACUCCAUUCUGACAGGGAAAGAGCAAAAUGAGCAAAACAUUUCAGUUCGUGGCAGGAGGCACAUGGGAAGGAGGCUGUUUAUGUCAUGGUAGAUCAGAGAUCAGAAGCCAGAUCUUCAAAGAUUUGCCCUAGGUUACCUGUUUCUGCAGAAAAAUGCCACCUCCUCAAGAUUCCACAGCUUCCUGAAAAAGUGUUACCAGCUGGGGAGCUGUUGCAAUAGGCAAAUUAAUUCUACUGAAAUCGUCCUGGCAGUGGUGACCUGUGUUCCUUGCUACUCCCCCUGAAUGAAACACACACACACACAAACAACAAAAAAACCCUUAUAUUUCACUAUGCCUUAAACAGCUCAAUGGCUGGGCCACUCCUGUGGCUAAUACCUCCCCUCCAGUACUCCUGAGUUAUUACUUACUGAAAUCUAUAUUCCAUCUUUGCUGCCCUAGAUCCAAUGGGGGGAGUGCCCUGGGGCUGCUCUUACAUGAUUGGUAUGCUCUCUCUUCUGCACUUCUCAGGCCUGGACCUUACUCUUUUCCCGGUAUGGUGGUUCUAAAUCCUCCUCCCGGAUUAGUCCCUUAGUCCCCUUGUCCGAGAAUCCUAAAGUCCCACCUCUGUCUCCCUGCCUAGACAAUGGCUGCCAGCAACUUUAUUUACCAAUCAAAGCCAACUGGGGGCAGGGACCAUCAAAGUCUUACAUGCAGAUUCUUGUGCAAUUUUGGGAAACCAAUUAACAUAAUAUAAGUGUUAGACCAAAUCCACAACAGGGAGAGAAACAUGAGCUUGUGUGGAACAUUCAAGUUUCAAUCAUAAUUAAUUUUUUUUUGUUUUUCAGAAUCCUCAGGAAGCCAGGAAGAAUUUGGAGGGCAAUACAUGGUGUCUCAUGCUACCAUGUGUUGACUUCUCC